AGCCGAGCAGUGAAGACAAAGCGAGCUAUUCUUUCGCCUUUUACUAAAGAAUACCGUGUCUUCUCUGCAUUUAAUCGGCAUACGCCUAUUUUUGGAAAGGUUUAUUACCAAAAUUAU
Molecule: small nuclear RNA, 117 nt
Filed under: Arabidopsis thaliana (thale cress)
Lineage: Eukaryota; Viridiplantae; Streptophyta; Magnoliopsida; Brassicales; Brassicaceae
Also listed under: 2 other names
Description: U5 spliceosomal RNA
Rfam family: U5 spliceosomal RNA
About the family: U5 RNA is a component of both types of known spliceosome. The precise function of this molecule is unknown, though it is known that the 5' loop is required for splice site selection and p220 binding, and that both the 3' stem-loop and the Sm site are important for Sm protein binding and cap methylation.
Source: Rfam by way of RNAcentral